GACGAACGCUGGCGGCGUGCCUAAUACAUGCAAGUUGAACGAGAGCAACCGGUGCUUGCACUGGUCAAUCUAGUGGCGAACGGGUGAGUAACACGUGGGUAACCUGCCCAUCAGAGGGGGAUAACAUCCGGAAACGGAUGCUAAAACCGCAUAGGUCUUCGAACCGCAUGGUUUGAAGAGGAAAAGAGGCGCAAGCUUCUGCUGAUGGAUGGACCCGCGGUGCAUUAGCUAGUUGGUGAGGUAACGGCUCACCAAGGCCGUGAUGCAUAGCCGACCUGAGAGGGUGAUCGGCCACAUUGGGACUGAGACACGGCCCAAACUCCUACGGGAGGCAGCAGUAGGGAAUCUUCCGCAAUGGACGCAAGUCUGACGGAGCAACGCCGCGUGAGUGAAGAAGGUUUUCGGAUCGUAAAACUCUGUUGUUAGAGAAGAACAAGUGCUAGAGUAACUGUUAGCGCCUUGACGGUAUCUAACCAGAAAGCCACGGCUAACUACGUG
RNAcentral lists this ribosomal RNA (498 nucleotides) under uncultured bacterium. Its description in RNAcentral is "partial 16S ribosomal RNA". It matches the Rfam family "Bacterial small subunit ribosomal RNA", at positions 28 to 507 of the family's 1533-position model. The record is from RNAcentral.